This 99-nucleotide microRNA precursor is filed under the name Nomascus leucogenys (northern white-cheeked gibbon). RNAcentral's name for it is "miRNA (ENSNLEG00000033921.1)". The record is from RNAcentral. Lineage: Eukaryota; Metazoa; Chordata; Mammalia; Primates; Hylobatidae.
GAGGUGGGAGGAUAGCUUGAGCCUGGGAGGUUGAGGCUGCAGUGAGCCAUGAGCAUGCCACUGCACUCCAGCCUGAGUGACAGAGAGAGACCCUGUCUC